Molecule: long non-coding RNA, 1303 nt
Filed under: Naja naja (Indian cobra)
Lineage: Eukaryota; Metazoa; Chordata; Lepidosauria; Squamata; Elapidae
Description: lncRNA (ENSNNAG00000011848.1)
Source: RNAcentral
GUGCAACUGGACCCUUUGCUGGGCAUGAGCCUGAUGGCAGGGAAAGCACUUAGUUCUGCCCGGAUGGCCGAUGCGGUUUUCAGCCAGACCUCCCUGGUGGGCAGCCAGACCCUCCCCGAGGGAGAGAGGAGGGACGGUGGGGAACACCUGGAAGGCCAGGAGCAGCCCGGCUUGGGGGAGGGCAGCCAGCAUCUCAACGCCUCCUGCUACCCCUCCACCUGUGUCACCGACGUCCUGCUGAGCUACCGGCACGCGGAGCUUCCCUUCGGGGUGGAGCAAGCCGGGGUGUAGCAAGGCGAUGGCAGCCGUUGGGCACCGCUCCGCAGUGAGAAGGUCCAUUUCACACCGACAGUAUCUUGCAGCCUUGCACCAAACAGCCAUCGCAUUUCUCUGGGAAGGAAGGAAACCUCAUGGCGGUGGUGGCUCUUCCUGCUCCUCCUCCUCCUCCUCCUCCUCCUCCUCCUCGUUGGUCCAAGAGCGCGCUUGUCCCUUUCGGAUGUUCGUCAUGGCCAUAUCUGCCUGUGAUGCCAGCUGUUCCGGAAGCGCCAACCGCCCCUCCGGGGGCUGCCAACAUGGACUGACCACAACCACGAGGGCAGCAGGCGCCUCCCUGGCCUCGCUGGAGCCAGCAAUAAGCAGACUGUGGGACUGGGCCUUUCCAGGGACCGAGGAGGGGCUGGGCUGGGCUGGGGCUGUCUUCAUGCCUGCCUGCCUUCUGUUGCUCGACACCCCCAAAAACCCCUCCAGAUUCAGGCUCUCCCCCUCCCCCCCCCCGGUCCCCUCCCGGCCGCGGUGCAAUAUUGCUUUUGUGUCUCAUUUAUUGACUUUUCUGUGUUUGGAUUUUGUCAUUGUGCUUAAACAUCCUUUUUUUCUCUUUUUGUACCUCUUUUCCAUUCAUAUCAUGUGCUCUCUUUCCUCCUUUAGUUUAAUUCUGAGAAAGUUUGGUUCUUGUUUUUUAACUUGUUUCCCUCCAGAUCAUGUAGGAAUUUGUUUUGGUAAACUUUUUGGUAUUAUUAUUAUUAUUAUUAUUAAUAUUAAUAAAUUAAUUCAGACUGCCUUCCUGCCCCCGGCCGUGCUGCUUGACCCCCGCUCCCUGCCCUUGUCUCGGCUCUUCCCCGGGCCUGGCAUUUGGGCUGCGGCCUGCCCUGCCCUCUGGGGGAGCCCCCCUUUUGGGGACUGGCCGGGCGAAGGGCCUCUUGGGUGCCUCAGAGGGCCUGGCACCCUCUUCCUGCCUUUGGGGGCCUUCGGAAGCUCCCCCCCCCCGAGAAUCCCUGUUACUGACUCUUUGGGAGAGUCUUUUUAA